AAUCCAUAGGUUAAUGAGGCGAACCGGGGGAACUGAAACAUCUAAGUACCCCGAGGAAAAGAAAUCAACCGAGAUUCCCCCAGUAGCGGCGAGCGAACGGGGAGGAGCCCAGAGCCUGAAUCAGCAUGUGUGUUAGUGGAAGCGUCUGGAAAGGCGCGCGAUACAGGGUGACAGCCCCGUACACAAAAGCGCAUGUGCUGUGAGCUCGAUGAGUAGGGCGGGACACGUGGUAUCCUGUCUGAAUAUGGGGGGACCAUCCUCCAAGGCUAAAUACUCCUGACUGACCGAUAGUGAACCAGUACCGUGAGGGAAAGGCGAAAAGAACCCCGGCGAGGGGAGUGAAAAAGAACCUGAAACCGUGUACGUACAAGCAGUGGGAGCCCCACCACUAAGCCAGUGGUGAACUCCACAUACGCAUCCUUUGCUGAGGAUACGGUUAACGGAGCGAAAGCGACGUUCAACCUCAAAAGAAGCAGAGGGGGCUUAGUGGUGGGGUGACUGCGUACCUUUUGUAUAAUGGGUCAGCGACUUAUAUUCUGUAGCAAGGUUAACCGCAUAGGGGAGCCGGAGGGAAACCGAGUCUUAA
RNAcentral lists this ribosomal RNA (586 nucleotides) under Salmonella enterica subsp. enterica serovar Mbandaka. Its description in RNAcentral is "partial 23S ribosomal RNA". It matches the Rfam family "Bacterial large subunit ribosomal RNA", at positions 161 to 687 of the family's 2925-position model. The record is from RNAcentral. Lineage: Bacteria; Pseudomonadati; Pseudomonadota; Gammaproteobacteria; Enterobacterales; Enterobacteriaceae.